Lynx canadensis (Canada lynx) is the source of this 1302-nucleotide long non-coding RNA. RefSeq lists it as uncharacterized. The record is from RefSeq and is a predicted model, not a curated record. The transcript has 2 exons. NCBI's taxonomy places the organism in Eukaryota, Metazoa, Chordata, Mammalia, Carnivora, Felidae.
CCCAGAGUCCGCCCGAGCAGGGCAGAGGCCGAGCCUCGGAUGCGGGUCUCCGCUGCGGCGGGUGGGCUCUCGGCCAGCCGCUCCCCAUUUGUUGUGCAGCGAGGCCGGGGGCGCCUCCGCCGAGACCUGCGUUCCGAGCCUCACGGAAGAGAGGUGAACUCGCCGCGGUGGAACAGCUAACACCGAGACCCUGGGGUCCUAGCAGAGGCCCUCCGGUGGCCCGUGCCACCCCGGGCGGGCGAGCUCAACGGAGCAGGGCUUGGCAGGGGCAGAGGCGGGGAUGAGCUGGGCCUCUGCGCCCCCGCGGCCCACAGCUGCCUCCCUGUCUGAAUUCCAAUGCCCACUGAGCUCCCCGGGCUUCGGGGUGCCCUGUCUCGAGCCCCGCUUGCUGCCCCAGGCGGAGAAGGCACUCUCUUCCCUGCUCUGUUUCUCGCUGAAGGCAGCCUCUGCUGUUUCCGGCCGCAGCUGGAGCUGUUUACCAUCUUCCAACUCUCACGAAGAAAGGAAAAACUAUCACUUAGAGCCAUUGAAAACUCAGCAUCGUACGUGGAUUUCUUCACGUAAAUAAAUCACACGAAGCGAGACUCGUGUUCUCCGAGUGACGUCAUCCGCUGAAGGCCGCCUCCCCCGUCAGAUCAGCGUUGGGUGCUUUCCUCCUCGUGCGGGCGCCCUUUCCGCAAGACCUGGGUCAGCCCGGCACGACCGGGUCCAGAGGGCGAAAACAGUUCCAACUUCACAGACUGCUCGGAAGCUUUGCUUUGGAACCAUAGGUUCUGAGGUUGAAAGGCCGUGAACGCGUCCAGAAGAAACGUGUGCAGCGCCCAGCGGGAGGUGAAGGCCCUUUGGGUCCUUCCGGAGCCGACGGUGACGCUGGCUGCGGCGUCAUCCCCUUGAAAUGAACGAGGAACCGGAAAAUCACCGGGAAGGCGUCCAGGAGAUGUGGCGCAUUUGGCCACGAGAAGGGACAAAGUCCUGACACGUGCCACAACGCGUGUGACCUCGGAAACAUUAUUCUCGGUGAAAGAAACUAGUCACGAGGCCACGUGUCGUCUGGGUCCAUUUACAAGAAGUGUCUAGGACAGGAAAGUCCGCAGAGACAGAAGGUGGGGGGGUGGCUGACAGGGGCUGGGGGAGGAGUGGGGGGGGGUGACUGUUGACGGACGUGGGUCUCCUUCUGCUGGGUGAGGACCGUGUUCUGGAACCAGCUGGCUGUACUCAAUGCUAUCACACCGUUCCCUGUAAGACGGUAAAUGUUACGCUGUGUGGACUGGAUCUCAAUACAUCCGUUAUUUUGCAAAGUCA